UUACGGCCACAUCACAUUUAAAAUACUGUUUCCUGUACAGUACUCGAAGUUAAGCAACGUCGAGCUUGGUCAGUACCUAGAUGGGUGACUGCUUGGGAAUACCAGGUACUGUAAG
This is a non-coding RNA of Acanthosepion pharaonis, 115 nucleotides long. The record is from the annotation of a GenBank genome assembly. NCBI's taxonomy places the organism in Eukaryota, Metazoa, Mollusca, Cephalopoda, Sepiida, Sepiidae.